RNAcentral lists this ribosomal RNA (274 nucleotides) under uncultured prokaryote. Its description in RNAcentral is "partial 16S ribosomal RNA". It matches the Rfam family "Bacterial small subunit ribosomal RNA", at positions 524 to 796 of the family's 1533-position model. The record is from RNAcentral.
UACGGAGGGGGCUAGCGUUGUUCGGAAUUACUGGGCGUAAAGCGCGCGUAGGCGGCUUUGCAAGUUAGAGGUGAAAGCCCGGGGCUCAACCCCGGAAUUGCCUUUAAAACUGCAUCGCUAGAAUUGUGGAGAGGUGAGUGGAAUUCCGAGUGUAGAGGUGAAAUUCGUAGAUAUUCGGAAGAACACCAGUGGCGAAGGCGACUCACUGGACACAUAUUGACGCUGAGGUGCGAAAGCGUGGGGAGCAAACAGGAUUAGAAACCCCGAGUAGUCC